RNAcentral lists this transfer RNA (85 nucleotides) under Holophagales bacterium. RNAcentral describes it as "tRNA-Leu". It matches the Rfam family "tRNA". From Rfam's summary of the family: Transfer RNA (tRNA) molecules are approximately 80 nucleotides in length. Their secondary structure includes four short double-helical elements and three loops (D, anti-codon, and T loops). The record is from RNAcentral. Lineage: Bacteria; Pseudomonadati; Acidobacteriota; Holophagae; Holophagales.
GCGAACGUGGCGGAACUGGCAGACGCACUGGAUUUAGGUUCCAGCGGGUAAUACCGUGUGGGUUCGAGUCCCACCGUUCGCACCA